CCUACGUGUGGCAGCAGUGGGGAAUAUUGGGCAAUGGGCGCAAGCCUGACCCAGCAAUGCCGCGUGAAGGAAGAAGGCUUUCGGGUUGUAAACUACUUUUAAGAGGGAAGAGCAGAUGACGGUACCUCUUCAAUAAGCUACGGCUAACUCCGUGCCAGCACACGCGGUAAUACGGAGGUGGCAAGCGUGGUCCGGAUUUACUGGGUGUAAAGGGUGUGCAGCCGGGAAGACAAGUCAGAUGUGAAAUCCCGCGGCUCAACCGGGGAACUGCAUUUGAAACUGUUUGGCUUGAGUACCGGAGAGGUGAUCAGAAUUCCUGGUGUAGCGGUGAAAUGCGUAGAUAUAAGGAAGAACACCAGUGGCGAAGGCGGAUGACUGGACGGCAACUGACGGUGAGGCGCGAAAGCGUGGGGAGCAAACAGGAUUAGAUACCCCUGUAGUC
Molecule: ribosomal RNA, 442 nt
Filed under: uncultured bacterium
Lineage: Bacteria
Description: partial 16S ribosomal RNA
Rfam family: Bacterial small subunit ribosomal RNA
Source: RNAcentral